CCUACGGGAGGCAGCAGUGAGGAAUAUUUGUCAAUGGACGCAAGUCUGAACCAGCCAAGUAGCGUGCAGGAUGACGGCCCUCCGGGUUGUAAACUGCUUUUAUUUAGGAAUAAAAUGGGGCUCGUGAGCCCCGUCUUGUGUAUACCAUCAGAAAGAGUCCCGUCGACUUCCGUGCCAGUAGGCGCGGUAAUAGGGAAGGUGCGGGCGUUAUGCAGAUUUAUUGGGUUUAAGGGGGGGGUAGGCCGGCUUUUAAGUCCGCUGUGAAAGUCCGGGGCUCAACCGUGGAAUUGCAGUUGAAACUGGAGGCCUUGAGUGCACACAGGGUGGCCGGAAUUCACGGUGUAGCGGUGAAAUGCUUAGAUA
Molecule: ribosomal RNA, 363 nt
Filed under: uncultured bacterium
Lineage: Bacteria
Description: partial 16S ribosomal RNA
Rfam family: Bacterial small subunit ribosomal RNA
Source: RNAcentral